RNAcentral lists this ribosomal RNA (375 nucleotides) under uncultured organism. RNAcentral describes it as "bacterial SSU rRNA". It matches the Rfam family "Bacterial small subunit ribosomal RNA", at positions 526 to 896 of the family's 1533-position model. The record is from RNAcentral.
CAGAGGGUGCGAGCGUUGUUCGGAAUUACUGGGCGUAAAGCGCGCGCAGGCGGUCCUUUAAGUCUACCCGUGAAAUGCCGGAGCUCAACUCCGUGCACGCCGGGGGGAUACUGGAGAACUGGAGACGAGUAGAGGCAAGCGGAAUUCCGGGUGUAGCGGUGGAAUGCGUAGAGAUCCGGAAGAACACCGGAGGCGAAGGCGGCUUGCUGGGCUUGGUCUGACGCUGAGGCGCGAAAGCGUGGGGAGCGAACAGGAUUAGAUACCCUGGUAGUCCACGCCGUAAACGAUGGGCACUAGACGCGGGUGGGAUCGACCCCUUCCGUGUCGCAGCUAACGCGCUAAGUGCCCCGCCUGGGGAGUACGGCCGCAAGGCUG